Molecule: ribosomal RNA, 253 nt
Filed under: uncultured bacterium
Lineage: Bacteria
Description: partial 16S ribosomal RNA
Rfam family: Bacterial small subunit ribosomal RNA
Source: RNAcentral
UACGAAGGGGGCUAGCGUUGCUCGGAAUCACUGGGCGUAAAGCGCACGUAGGCGGCUUCUUAAGUCAGGGGUGAAAUCCUGGAGCUCAACUCCAGAACUGCCCUUGAUACUGAGGAGCUUGAGUCCGGGAGAGGUGAGUGGAACUCCUAGUGUAGAGGUGGAAUUCGUAGAUAUUAGGAAGAACACCAGUGGCGAAGGCGGCUCACUGGUCCGGUACUGACGCUGAGGUGCGAAAGCGUGGGGAGCAAACAGG